CAUUACUCUAAAGCUUGUGUGUUACUUUAAGAAGUCAGAACAGCCACAUCACAUCGGAGUUUAAAUAAAAGCCCAACCAUCCAGUGAAAGGCAGAGAAGUAACAAACUACUCCAACCUAUACUGAGGAGAAAAAAACAGAUAAGGUGACACCCUGGACAUGGCCUCAGAUAAGCACAUGCCAGGCCCGGUAUGCCUCAUUGAGAACACUGACACACAACUAGUGGUUAACCCAGAAGCUUUGAAGAUCCUGUCUGCCAUUACACAGCCUGUGGUGGUGGUGGCCAUUGUGGGUCUCUACCGCACAGGCAAAUCCUACCUGAUGAACAAGCUGGCUGGGCAGAAAAAAGGCUUCUCUCUGGGCUCCACGGUUCAGUCUCACACCAAAGGCAUCUGGAUGUGGUGUGUGCCUCACCCUAAGAAACAAAACUAUACCCUAGUUCUGCUUGACACUAAGGGGCUGGGAGAUGAAGAGAAAGGUGACAACCAAAAUGACUCCUGGAUCUUUGCCCUGGCAAUACUGCUGAGCAGCACCUUUGUGUACAACAGCAUGGGGACCAUAAACCAUCAGGCCAUGGACGAACUGCGCUAUGUGACAGAGCUGACAGAUAAAAUAAGGGCAAAAUCUUCACCUGACGCAAAUGAGGUUGAGGACUCAGCUGACUUUGUGAGCUUCUUUCCAGAUUUUGUGUGGACGCUGAGGGAUAUUUCCCUAAAAUUGGAAGAACUAGAUGGGCAACCCACCUCAGCAGACGAGUACCUGCAGAAUUCACUCAAACUCAAGAAAGUUCCCAGUCCUAAAUAUGAAAACUUUAACCUGCCCCGACUUUGUAUCCGAAAGUUCUUCCCAAAGAAGAAAUGCUUUAUCUUUGAUCGGCCCACCAAUCAGAAGAAGCUAGGCCAACUUGAGACAAUGCAUGAUGAUGAGCUGGACCCCGAAUUCGUGCAACAAACUGCUGACUUCUGUUCCUACAUCUUUACCAAUUCCAAUGUCAAAACUCUUUCAGGGGACAUCCAGGUCAAUGGAUCCCGGCUGGAGACUCUGGUGCUGACCUAUGUUGAUGCCAUCAGCAGUGGGGACCUGCCCUGCAUGGAGAACGCAAUCCUGGCCUUGGCCCAGAUAGAGAACUCGGCUGCAGUGAAAAAGGCCAUUGCGCACUAUGACCAGCAGAUGGGGGAGAAGGUUGAACUGCCCACAGAAACCCUCCAAGAGCUCGUGGACCUGCACAUGGCCAGUGAGAAAGAGGCCAUUGAAAUCUUUAUGAAGAAUUCCUUCAAGGAUGUAGACCAUUUAUUUCAAAAGGAAUUAGCGGCCCAGCUACAAAAAAGAUGUAAUGACUUCUACAAAGAGAAUAUGAAAGCAUCAUCAGAUCGCUGCUCGGCUUUACUUAAGGAUAUCUUCCAUUCUUUAGAAGAAGAUAUAAAGCAGAGGGUUUAUUCUAAACCAGGAGGAUAUCAUCUCUUAAUGCAGACUGUGAAUGAGCUCAAGAAAAAGUAUCUUCAGGAACCCAGGAAGGGAAUACAGAGUAAAGAAGUCCUUCAGACAUACCUGAGGUCCAAGGAGUCUGUGACUGAAGAAAUUCUACAGGCAGACAAUACUCUCACAAAUAUGGAAAAGCUGAUUGAAGUGCAACGUGUGAAAGCUGAAUCUGCAGAGGCUGCAGCAAAAAUGCUGGAGGAAAUGCAAAAGAAGAAUCAGCAAAUGUUGGAGGAGGAAGAAAAAAGUUAUCAGGAACAUGUGAAACAACUGACUAAGAAGAUGGAGCAGGACAGGGUCCAAUUAAUGGCAGAGCAAGAGGAGGCUCUGGCUCUUAAACUUCGGGAACAGCUCUUCUUACUAAAGGAAGGAUCCCAAAAUAAGAACAGACAACUUCAGAGGGAAAUAGACAAUCUCAAAAAAAGAAUGGCAAGACCACCACCGGAAUCUUGUAUCAUAAGCUAAUGACCAAAGGAAAAGAGAUUCCCUGAUCACUCUGCCCAAGGCAUAACUCAAGCAGUUUUAGAAUCCAGAAAACUGUCACAACUUGAGAAAAUGUGACCUUCUUCAAGCUGAUAAAAGAAAUCUAAAAAUAAAUAAAUAAAUAAAUAAAUAACCCUUCAGUUAACAUACAUACUUAAUGAUUAAAAAAAAAACAACAACAAUGAUUUGUCCCUAACACAGGAAUAAAGCAAGAAUGUGCAGCUUCUCAACUCCUGUUAAACAGUAUAAUAAAAGGCUUCCUACAAUAUGGAAAAAAGGAAGGGAGGGAGGAAGGAAGGAAGGAAGAAAGGAAAGGAAAAGAAAGUAGGAAGAAAGGAUAAGAAAGGAUAAAAUAAAACUGCUCUGUUUUUACACACUAUGAUUAUUCACAUAGAAAAAUCCCAGGGAAUCUUCAACAAUAAAAGGAAAACAACAACAACAAAAACUCUUGGCACAAAUAUGUGAGUUUAACAAGGUUGUAAGAUUCAAGGUCAAUUCACAAAAAUCCACAUAACAACUGUAUUUUUAUAUAAAAGCAAUGGACUAUUGGAAACCAAAAAUUAAAAAACAAUACCAUUUACAAUAGGUGUUUUUUGAAAAUGGAAUACUUAGGUAGAAAUAUAACUAAACACACAUGAACUUCUAUGCUUCUAUCUUCAUUCUAAGAACAAUAGAUUAUGGCAUCUAUCAUGAUGUAUGAAUGUCCUUAGAUUCCAACUCCCUUGUAGUUUUUAUGAUUUUACUUUUACUCAUUGUAGAGAAGAAGGUUCAAGACCCUUAUUUUUAGAGUUAUCCCUGACAAAAGCAUGUGCCUAUUAUUUGUUAAGAUUCGCUUAGCACUAAAAAUAUGUCAAUUGUAGGGGGCAGGAGGGUAUGGGGGGGUUAAUGGG
This is an RNA transcript of Pipistrellus kuhlii (Kuhl's pipistrelle), 2848 nucleotides long. It is a transcript of the gene named guanylate-binding protein 1-like, with no coding region annotated. The record is from RefSeq and is a predicted model, not a curated record. NCBI's taxonomy places the organism in Eukaryota, Metazoa, Chordata, Mammalia, Chiroptera, Vespertilionidae. The transcript is spliced from 12 exons.